RNAcentral lists this transfer RNA (69 nucleotides) under Ruditapes philippinarum (Manila clam). RNAcentral's name for it is "tRNA-Ser". Lineage: Eukaryota; Metazoa; Mollusca; Bivalvia; Venerida; Veneridae. The record is from RNAcentral.
AGAGAAAAGCGGGGCAUGGCUAGACUUCUAAUCUUUGCUAUAAGCAGUUCAACUCUGUUUUUUUCUCUA